AUCCUCAGCUUGCUGGGGGGAUUAGUGGCGAACGGGUGAGUAACACGUGAGUAACCUGCCCUUGACUCUGGGAUAAGCCUGGGAAACCGGGUCUAAUACUGGAUAUGACCUUCCCACGCAUGUGGUGUUGGUGGAAAGCUUUUGUGGUUUUGGAUGGACUCGCGGCCUAUCAGCUUGUUGGUGGGGUAAUGGCUUACCAAGGCGACGACGGGUAGCCGGCCUGAGAGGGUGACCGGCCACACUGGGACUGAGACACGGCCCAGACUCCUACGGGAGGCAGCAGUGGGGAAUAUUGCACAAUGGGCGCAAGCCUGAUGCAGCGACGCCGCGUGAGGGAUGAAGGCCUUCGGGUUGUAAACCUCUUUCAGUA
This 370-nucleotide ribosomal RNA is filed under the name uncultured Actinomycetes bacterium. RNAcentral describes it as "bacterial SSU rRNA". It matches the Rfam family "Bacterial small subunit ribosomal RNA", at positions 71 to 441 of the family's 1533-position model. Lineage: Bacteria; Bacillati; Actinomycetota; Actinomycetes. The record is from RNAcentral.